Molecule: ribosomal RNA, 253 nt
Filed under: uncultured bacterium
Lineage: Bacteria
Description: partial 16S ribosomal RNA
Rfam family: Bacterial small subunit ribosomal RNA
Source: RNAcentral
UACGUAGGGUGCAAGCGUUAAUCGGAAUUACUGGGCGUAAAGCGUGCGCAGGCGGUUUUGUAAGACAGGCGUGAAAUCCCCGGGCUCAACCUGGGAAUUGCGCUUGUGACUGCAAAGCUAGAGUAUGUCAGAGGGGGGUAGAAUUCCACGUGUAGCAGUGAAAUGCGUAGAGAUGUGGAGGAAUACCGAUGGCGAAGGCAGCCCCCUGGGACAAAACUGACGCUCAUGCACGAAAGCGUGGGGAGCAAACAGG